UCUGGCUCAGAUUGAACGCUGGCGGCAGGCCUAACACAUGCAAGUCGAACGGUAGCACAGAGAGCUUGCUCUCGGGUGACGAGUGGCGGACGGGUGAGUAAUGUCUGGGAAACUGCCCGAUGGAGGGGGAUAACUACUGGAAACGGUAGCUAAUACCGCAUAACGUCUUCGGACCAAAGUGGGGGACCUUCGGGCCUCACACCAUCGGAUGUGCCCAGAUGGGAUUAGCUAGUAGGUGGGGUAAUGGCUCACCUAGGCGACGAUCCCUAGCUGGUCUGAGAGGAUGACCAGCCACACUGGAACUGAGACACGGUCCAGACUCCUACGGGAGGCAGCAGUGGGGAAUAUUGCACAAUGGGCGCAAGCCUGAUGCAGCCAUGCCGCGUGUAUGAAGAAGGCCUUCGGGUUGUAAGGUACUUUCAGC
RNAcentral lists this ribosomal RNA (424 nucleotides) under Erwinia sp. AE_136. Its description in RNAcentral is "bacterial SSU rRNA". It matches the Rfam family "Bacterial small subunit ribosomal RNA", at positions 18 to 440 of the family's 1533-position model. Lineage: Bacteria; Pseudomonadati; Pseudomonadota; Gammaproteobacteria; Enterobacterales; Erwiniaceae. The record is from RNAcentral.